UAAAUGGAUGUUUAGUAAGCUGCUAAAUUAGAUUUGCAUGUAAAACUCAAGAUGAUCUCCAAUGGUUCCUGAAAUAUAGGAAGCUCCAACGGCUUUGAAUAAUUGGUGGACCAUCGGUUGCAUGCGCCGUCACUAUUUUUAGACGCAAAACACCUGACAGAGUCAUGCCGACGAACAAGUUCUGAGCGGUGCCGUCGCCUGAAUCAAUUCAUUCGGUGAUGGGUUCAAAUAGAUUGUUGUCAUCACAAUUACUUGAUGAAUCAUCAUCUGAUGACGACGAGGAUUUCAUACUUUCUGCCGCGCAAAUCAUUCAUACUGUUUCACAAGUUCGUACAAAGCCAGGAGGCUCUGUUCCAGGUCGUGCAUAUAUUUAUCGAGAUAGAUAAGCGGGACACGCGAGAUUGUACCAAGAUUACCUGGCUGACAUUCCUACUUAUGGUCCAAACUUGUUUCGGCGGAGGUUUAGGAUGCAUCGAUCCCUGUUUAUUCGCAUAAUGAAUGUUGUUGAACAACAUGAUGAUUACUUUGAGCAAAAAUGAAACGCAGCUCAACAACAAGGUUUAAGUUGUUUGCAGAAGGUUACUGCAGUAUUUCGUAUGCUAACUUAUGGAGUGGAAGCAGAUGCUACAGAUGAAUAUGUACGUAUUGGAGAAAGUACUGCGCUGGAAAGUCUAAGAAG
Molecule: long non-coding RNA, 679 nt
Organism: Zea mays
Lineage: Eukaryota; Viridiplantae; Streptophyta; Magnoliopsida; Poales; Poaceae
Exons: 3
Source: RefSeq, a predicted model, not a curated record